RNAcentral lists this ribosomal RNA (533 nucleotides) under Enterococcus durans. Its description in RNAcentral is "bacterial SSU rRNA". It matches the Rfam family "Bacterial small subunit ribosomal RNA", at positions 73 to 585 of the family's 1533-position model. Lineage: Bacteria; Bacillati; Bacillota; Bacilli; Lactobacillales; Enterococcaceae. The record is from RNAcentral.
CCGGAGCUUGCUCCACCGGAAAAAGAAGAGUGGCGAACGGGUGAGUAACACGUGGGUAACCUGCCCAUCAGAAGGGGAUAACACUUGGAAACAGGUGCUAAUACCGUAUAACAAUCGAAACCGCAUGGUUUUGAUUUGAAAGGCGCUUUCGGGUGUCGCUGAUGGAUGGACCCGCGGUGCAUUAGCUAGUUGGUGAGGUAACGGCUCACCAAGGCCACGAUGCAUAGCCGACCUGAGAGGGUGAUCGGCCACAUUGGGACUGAGACACGGCCCAAACUCCUACGGGAGGCAGCAGUAGGGAAUCUUCGGCAAUGGACGAAAGUCUGACCGAGCAACGCCGCGUGAGUGAAGAAGGUUUUCGGAUCGUAAAACUCUGUUGUUAGAGAAGAACAAGGAUGAGAGUAACUGUUCAUCCCUUGACGGUAUCUAACCAGAAAGCCACGGCUAACUACGUGCCAGCAGCCGCGGUAAUACGUAGGUGGCAAGCGUUGUCCGGAUUUAUUGGGCGUAAAGCGAGCGCAGGCGGUUUCUUA